Molecule: long non-coding RNA, 1943 nt
Organism: Clupea harengus (Atlantic herring)
Lineage: Eukaryota; Metazoa; Chordata; Actinopteri; Clupeiformes; Clupeidae
Source: Ensembl
AUUCAGAUGACCUAAUAUUAUAAUUUAUUCACAUACUGUAAUUUGUCUGUUUCUUAAAGUAAAAAAAACAAAACAUUUUUUUCCUGAUAAUAAUCCUGCUGUGGUGGACGACUUGCUAUACUGCUCAAGUCCAACAGCCAUUUUAAGUGCCAUCCUGCUCCUCAGGGAUAUCCCACAUCCGUGUGAUUCGAGCCAGCUGUUGCUCCUGUUCGUGAAUAUGCAGAUCCUCCUUAAAUCUGUGCCACGUUUUGUGGGAUUUCCUCGCAACGAUUUCUGCUCCGUUGGCUGGGGCUCCCUCCAGCUAUUUCGUCGAGCCUCCCCUCCCCCUCCUCAUGUCGCUCGGCAGUGUGAGGAGGGGAAGACCCCGUCCAUGACUCUCCUGCAACCCGACUGCCCAGAAGACCCCUCCAACGUUCGCAAGGGAAAAACACUAAAUGGCGGACAGCUGGUGCAUACUACAACGCUUAGGAUAGCGCGUGUAAGACGGGGACUGCAGGACCUGAAGGGAAUGAGUCGGAAGGUAGAGGAGAGGAGGGGGGAAUCACCGUGGCAAACGGAUCUCGUUUGUUUUAAGACAUCUGCGCUGUGUGGUGUGCGAGAGAGACGUCUUGCUGAGGAAUUGGUCGCUCCGAAGGAGGGGGAGGGGAAGGCAGGCUUAUUACACAAUAGGUGACUCGAGCGUUACUUUCACUCGUUUUAAAUAAUCAAAAAUAAUACCUCAGACUACCGGGCGCGCCAGCUGUUCUCGAGGGCUUUAUUUACCGCGCUGCCCGCCGACUGCAAGCUCGAUUAGCGUUAAUAUAGACCACUGGCGCGUUCCCAGGUCCCUUGUAGCCUACUCGAAUUUAAAAAUAACAGGGAAAUCUAUGCGCGACAUCUCGCAUUCCCAGUACGCCGACGACAGACACGGAGGCUGAAUGGCGCGAUUUUUGAAAGCGCUCUUUGCAUAAUGUUUGUUUUUACUUUCAGAUUUCUCUACGUUUACAGUUUUUUUUUCACCAAGUAGCGUCAACUAAAGCACUCAAGAAAGUGGGACUUGACCAAACCACAGAAGCAUGGAUAUCAGUGCGUAAAGAGUUUGUUUUCUUCAGUUACUUUUCUCUCUCGUGGAUGUGUAUUCUUUUUUUCUCUCUUCAAACGAAACACGUAUGCCUGUUUCACAUUUGCGAUUUGUUACAAUGCCAAAGUCAGCUAUGUAUUGACGGAUAGGCAUAUUUUGAAAGACAAAAUGAUUUUGGAUUGCCUGUACAACAAAAAGGUGGGCCUAGAACUAUUUUUUUUCAAGGAAUGCAGUUUAUAGCUACUGUAUGUUUUUGCACGAUGCUGAUUGUAUUGUAUAGCAUUAAUGUUCCAGGUAUUUGAUUUAAUGCAUGCACACUACACUCUACGAAAGCAGUGUAUGAUCAAGUGUAAACACUUGUAGGUUCAAGAUUAAGAUGUUAAAUGAAUGUAGAAUAAAUAUUUAGAAUAUAAAGCUAUCUCGUUCCUGUGUGUGUGUAGAUGACUGAGUGUGAGUGUGCGUACACGCCUCUUAAUCUCAAAUAAUGGGCUAAUAUUCGUGGGAAAAACAAGCCCGGGGGAGAGAAAGACGUUAAUUUCAGUUUCGUGGAAUUUUGACCAAAGUGGGUAGCCAGCAGUCACUAAUAAAUAAGCACACCCGGCUACUUUUUGCCUAUAGACGUGGACAUGGAACUGCCCGUUUAUCAAAAUGCGUAUAGGCCUACCACAUAGAGUUGGCUCCAUUUUGUGUGUGUGUGUGUGUGUGUGUGUGAGAGAGAGAGAGAGAGAGAGAGAGAGAGAGAGAAUGGUAAACACAAACGGCACAAGACAAUAACCAGGUUUAUGUUCCACUUAAUUCCCAGAAAAUAUUACACAAGGGCAAAUAUUGUUGUAAGGGGCUAAGAACUGUGCUUUUAUUGUGUUUGCUUAGAUUAAAAAAAAAA